CCUACGGGAGGCAGCAGUAAGGAAUAUUGGUCAAUGGACGAAAGUCUGAACCAGCCAUGCCGCGUGAAGGAUGAAGGCCCUCUGGGUUGUAAACUUCUUUUAUAGGGGACGAAAAAAGGGCAUUCUUGCUCACUUGACGGUACCCUAGGAAUAAGCACCGGCUAACUCCGUGCCAGCAGCCGCGGUAAUACGGAGGGUGCAAGCGUUAUCCGGAUUUACUGGGUUUAAAGGGUGCGUAGGUGGGUUGGUAAGUCAGCGGUGAAAUCUUCGAGCUUAACUCGGAAACUGCCAUUGAUACUAUCAAUCUUGAAUCAUCUAGAGGUAAGCGGAAUAUGUCAUGUAGCGGUGAAAUGCUUAGAUAUGACAUAGAACACCAAUUGCGAAGGCAGCUUACUAUGGAUGUAUUGACACUGAGGCACGAAAGCGUGGGGAUCAAACAGGAUUAGAUACCCUGGUAGUCCACGCCCUAAACUAUGGAUACUCGACAUUUGCGAUAUACUGUAAGUGUCUGAGCGAAAGCAUUAAGUAUCCCACCUGGGAAUACGAUCGCAAGAUUGAAACUCAAAUGAAAUUGACGG
This 578-nucleotide ribosomal RNA is filed under the name uncultured bacterium. RNAcentral describes it as "bacterial SSU rRNA". It matches the Rfam family "Bacterial small subunit ribosomal RNA", at positions 338 to 916 of the family's 1533-position model. The record is from RNAcentral.